GCUUACGGCUAUACCACUCUGAGAACGCUCGAUCUCGUCUGAUCUCGGAAGCUAAGCAGGGUCGGGCCUGAAUAGUACUUGGAUGGGAGACCGCCUGGGAAUUCCAGGUGCAAUAAGCU
Molecule: ribosomal RNA, 119 nt
Organism: Silurus meridionalis
Lineage: Eukaryota; Metazoa; Chordata; Actinopteri; Siluriformes; Siluridae
Source: RefSeq, a predicted model, not a curated record